Molecule: unclassified non-coding RNA, 297 nt
Filed under: Athalia rosae (coleseed sawfly)
Lineage: Eukaryota; Metazoa; Arthropoda; Insecta; Hymenoptera; Athaliidae
Description: misc RNA ENSAEAG00005003609.1
Source: RNAcentral
AGAGCACGUCUGUAUUUCAUGAAAAGACGACCGUUACAUAACAAGUGUCACGCAGAAUAUAGUUAUAAUUAUCAACUACAGAAACUUCCGAUAAAUGAUCGAACUGAGCUUCUACUGAAAUGCACUUGUACUGGAAUAUGCGAAGCUCCAAGGCGAUGAUCACGAGUCACGAGGAACUCAGCCUUUGGGAUAGUGGUCCCAGUCCUCCUCCACACGACCGUCGAACGGCGUCCCUACGAAAUAGGUCGUCAGCGUGCCCUUUCCCUUGACGUAGGUCGGCCCUCGAUGGAUAAUUUU